UUUAGGGUUUAGGGUUUAGGGUUUAGGGUUUAGGGGUUUAGGGUUUAGGGUUUAGGGUUAGGGUUUAGGGUUUAGGGUUAGGGUUAGGGUUUAGGGUUUAGGGUUUAGGGUUUAGGGUUUAGGGUUAGGGUUAGGGUUUAGGGUUUAGGGUUUAAGGUUUAGGGUUUAGGGUUUAGGGUUUUUUAUGGGAAAGAGGCCGAAGCCUCGGCAAAGAUUUUAUAAAUUCAAAAAGAAAAAUACAAGAGUUAUGUCAUUUUUGGACAAACCCCAAAAAUGACCAAGAUCCAAAUAUCACGCAAAUACCAAAACCAAAGGCUAACCCUAGCAACAAUUUAACCAAAGAAAAUACAAAUUAUUUUUACCCAACUCCACAACCCGGAGUGGUCUUCAAAAUUCUUUUCCAACACGAAUUGAACUCGCCAUCUUUUCUCCAAAUCUUCAUAGAUGCAAUCUCUUUGUAUGUUCCACAUCCAAAUGCUAAAAAUAACACAAUUCCCAUGAACAAAAUUAUCCCAAAAGUUCCACAAAAAAAUGUAUAUAGUAUCCACAAUCCAAUUCCCAAUAAUAUCCACAAUAGCAAUCUUCUUUCUUCUUUCCACCCUUUUAUCUUUAUUUUCAUAUAUGUAUAACGAAAGUAUAAUGCUAAAAAUAGCCACACUAUCAUCCUCUCUAUCCACAAUCUUCCAAUUCUUACAAUCCUCUUUCCUAUAGCCCCCAAAAAAUAUAUCUAUAUCCAAAGUCCUUCCAAUUCUCAUCAAAAAAAACUAAUUUUUUAUAGCACUUGCCAUCAAAACCUCUUUUAUGCACAUCAAAAGUCUCCAAAAACAUCUUCAAUAAAGCCUUCCAAUUAUCUUCCAUUCCAAAAAAUAUCAAUAAGUUCUUUAAAACAUCUCCAUCUUCAAUAAAGCUAAAAUGAAUAUAUUCGUCAAUUCCAUGGAUGUAAACACCUUGUUUCCAAGGUGUGCAUUCACUUUUAAGGGAAAAAGUGAUAAAAAUGUAACGUCCCGGGUUUUCUCGGUACGUUUGGUUAUUUUAAUUUAAUUAUCCUUGUAACCUGGGUUAAUUUAUUUAACCAAUGUCUGAUUUCUUAUGUUAUUGGACUCUUUUGAUCAUCUUGUAAACUCCUUUUAUUGAAGUCCAUAGGCUAUGGGCCUAUUUGCAAAGUCCAUCUAGUUAAUAGUACUUAAUGUGUAAAUUGAAUCAUUUGGAACACACACAAGGAAAACACUCUAAACCCUCCCUCUCUCUCAAAAAUCGUCCCUCUCUCUCUCUUUGGGAUCAAGAGCAGCCAAGGGGCUGUUUGGAGCUUAAUUCUUAUUCAUUUCCAGCCUUGAUUCGUAUUGGUAUGAACCUNCCCGAACUCAGACAGCGCUUCGUUUCUUAAAAAUAAUUUCUUUCGACGGAACCUAGUAUUAUUAGCACUAGAGUUUAGUCUAUUAUUUGUCGAGACUAAUUAAUAGUCUAGCNGCUCUAGUUUUAUGAUUUCAUCUUCACCUCUUCUCCUUCUUAUUUUAUUUGUAAUUUUAUUUUAUACAUCAUCUCAAGAUCCUAUCUUCACCCCAUAUAUGGUGGAUGAUGGAUCUAGGGGAUUACAUGUGGCAAAAGAUCAUGGAAACCCUAAAAGGGAGAAUGAUGAUUUUAUGUGCUUAUGUUUAUUUUCAUGUUGAUUAUUAUUACAUCCUUGUGGCUAAAUGAAAUCCUAAUGAUCCCUAACCCUUUUUAGUACCACCAAUAUCAUGGGGACUGAAUUGGGAUGAUGAACACAUCUUAAAAUGUGUUUCAAAAGGAGAAGGAUGGAUAAGCCAAAAAGGAAUCACGGGUGGCUACGAUUCUGUUUUCCAUCAGAUCUGUAGUCAUUUUGUAAAAAUCAUAUCUGGAGCUCUAGAACUCAAACGGACCCCAAACCAGUUCCAAAAGUUCACAAAUUGAGUUGGCUAACUUUCUUAAGAAGGCCAACCUCACUGAUAAGGGCUUUAUCUAUGUGAAAGAAUGGCAUCUUUGCUGUUAGGUCUGAUCCGGGUCUGUUCUGAUAUGUCAUUUUGUUUUCAUCAUUUCUAAGGCUUGGAAAAGGAUCCAGAGUGAUUCCAAGUUUCUAUAUGUUCCUUAUAUUAUGAAUUUAAGAUCUGGAGAAUAUGGGGUGUUAUUUCCAAUUAUAAAUUGGUUAGAAUGGAUCCACACUCCAGGUCAGUGGGCAGUCACCAGCUUUUGCUAGUGCUGUGAUUGUCCACAAUGUGAAUUUUAUAUCUGGAGUUUGAGAGAUGCUUUUCAUUCAAUUCCAACUCUGAGACUUUCACUUGUAUGUCCUUUACUUCUCUUAAUUUUCUUUUGGACGAAUUCUACUCACAAGUUGGGUAGAAUUGGCCAACAUCACUUGACUGUAUUGUUGGAGACAGAAGUGAUACACCAUUUUGUAAAAUUCAUAUUUAAUUCAUCUUUUGGAGUUAGAAUGAGUUCUUUAUAGUUGUGGAAUCCUGAGCAAUCAUAGUUUCCUAUAAAAUUUAGUUAAAGCUAUGUUUCUGUUUUAGAUUUUGGAGUAAAUCCGUUUUGAACAGCAGGUCUGUUUUAGAGACCUUGCUGUGAUUACUCUUUUCUCAACUCAUAGCUUCAUUACUUCUCCUUUCUAACCUUUAGUCCUUCUUAGGUGAGGUUUUGAAGUUUGCUCAAGCUUGGUAGCAUUAUUUGAUUGUUAGCCAUCCUUAAUACUCACUCAAGGUGAGUUCUCUCACACCGUUGUAUUGAUGAUUGUGUUUGCUAGUUAGCUCGUGUGUGAUUAUUUGAAUUUAUUAUAAAAGCAUGCUAUAUAAGUAUUGUUUUAAUUCGUACAUGUGCACUGUAUGUAACUAAUUAUGGAUAUGGGGACACCACCAAAGGAUACGGAUUUACCGGUGCGGUGGGUAGGUAAGAUCACCAACGUAAUACUCUUCGUGAGGUGCGGUGAUUAGGGCCAAAUGAUACGGGAUCUUCCCGGUGCGGUUCAAACCUACAAGUCCUUCUCGUAAUAUAGACAUUGAUUCGUUCUUUGCCUUUAUCAUUAUAAUUGGAAAAUGGAUUAGGGCUAGUAAAUAUGAAUGUUAGUACAAUGUCUGUGUUUGAAUUCACUAAGCUUCGUGCUUACGUUUUUCCCUUAUAACUUUUCAGGUGUUAAGAUUAAAGAGGCUAAGGCUUGACAUGGAGCAUCGGGACAUCGCUACUAGUUAUUUUGUUGGGACCUUAUUAUUAUUAUUACUUCCGCACUUAUUUUAUAUGAUUAUUAAGUUGAUGGAUUAUGUUAUGACUAUUUCAGUUGUUUUAAUUUAAUUUAAGAUGGGUUUUAAAAGUUUAAAAUUUUUGCAAAAAAAAUUGGGUGUCACAAGUUGGUAUCAGAGCCACAGUUUGAGGGAACUAGGCAUUCUUGUGGAUGUUCUAGACUCAAAUUUGAGGCUCUAUAAGAGUUUAUUUUCUUUUUAAAAUAUUUUUCAAACCUUCUAAAGACUAGUAGUGGAAGAUGUCGCGGUGUACCAGUCAGCCAGCCAAGUAAGCCUUAUUUCUUAUGUUAAAUGUUUAUGUUAAAUUGUUGACUAUGAAUUGGAUUCUACUAGCCUUAAAAUAUUAGAUUACACACUUAGUUAGUGUUAACAUGUGAGAGAGUUGUAAAAUUAACCGCUAGAGCGAACUGGAAAUUUUGAAACUAGACGCGAAUGCGAAAUUGGAACUUGUGUGGAAGGUAGUAGAAGGGCCCCUACUAUUUGAAACAUCGGUGCCGGUUUCGAGUCGGGGCAAGGUUGAAAAAUUUUCGGCAAGCUGAGUGUUUUGUCUUCCUAGAAAUAUCUAGGCUGAAUUGUUUCUAAGAUUUUCCUUCUUCUGUGGAUACCAAUGGCUCUGCCUGCUCGACUUAAUCAGCUCCAAAUGGAGCAAGUGAGGGAUAUUGUCGCUGAGGAAUUCAAUAACGGUUUCAACGAACUAAUCCCGGGUGUGACCAACGACAUAAUCAACCAAUUCGGUGCUCUUCUGGAUGAGCGCCUCGCGGCUAUUCCCAGGGAAGCGUUAUUGUCUCUGCCUGUUCAGGAUUCGGCAUACUACUUAGAGAAGUUCAACAAGUGUAGCCCUCCUCUUUGGAAUGGUGAAUCCUUUUACAACUUUAUGAAAAAAAGCUGUAUUUGCAUCUCCCUCCUUAAGCCACUGAACUUUAGCUCUUUGCUUUAAGUAACACUCUUCUUCCCAGCUGGCUUUCAGAAAAGAUUGGAGAUAAAUUCCUUCUUCAAAUCUCAAAUCUUCAUUACAUGGGUCUUUAUCAAGAAUAUUCUGAACCCGGCAUAACUCUUCUCUACACUUGAAAACUUUUUCUGCAUAAUUGCCUUGAGAUUUUAAUAAAUUCCUGAGAGGCUUCUUUAAGAGUUUCAAUUUCUGACAAAGCCGGAACAUUCCAUACCCCUCAAUUUCAGAUUUCUAGACAUUAUCAACAAUGGGAAGAAAAUUAUCUAACAGCACAAGGGAGUUAACAAACUUGAAAGGCCUAAUCCUGAACUUCUUUUUAAUUGGGAAUUUGAUAAUCAUAGGACUAUGAUCCGAAUUCCUGUAAGGCUGGAAAUUUGCAAACACAUUGGGAUAAUCUUCAAUAAAUUUCAGAUUCCCCAGAACACGAUCAAGUUUUUUGUAACGCCUGUGUUUCCGGGCUUGCCAUUUUUAGCAAUGUAAUAGUUUAGGUUAACCUCUGUAACCCGUUUUGAAAUAAUAAGAUUGUAUUAUUUGAGUAUUAUAUGUUUUUUGCUUAAUUAUGUGGUUUGAUUAAUUAAGAAUAAAAAUAAGCGUCAAAAUUUAGGUGUAAAAUAAACUUGAUAUCUUUGGUUAAUGUUGUUGUAGUUGAAACGAGGUUUCCAAAUAUAAAUAGAACGCCCAAAUCUGACUUCGUAUGAGGAAGUUAUGAUUUAUCGAAGUUUCGGCUUAGCGGUGUGCAGCCCGAAAUACUCGAUUUGAGAUCGAGCGGUUUUUAGCCGAAGAAACCUAAACGAGGAUCGAAGGUCUCGUUGUUGGUAUCGAAGCGAUAAAAAGUUAGGCGAGAACGGACGUCAAACGAAGAAGUUAUGAAUUUAUAACGAAGUUUUUCUGUGGCGGCCUAUUAAAAAUAAAUAAUAAAAAUAAAGUCAAAAUUAGCCGACGGAGUCUAAACGAAAGUUGUAGAGCAUGGUCUCACCUUCGCGUGGAUAUAAAGAACGUCGAAAACGGAGUUCGUAUGAAGAAGAUAUGAAUUUCCGAAGUUUAUUAAAUAAAUUUUAUUUAUUUUUAAUCUUUUAAUCCGACAUUAUCCGAAGACGAGUCACUGGUCCGAUCCGAGUACGCCCCGCGUACUCCGAAGAGUGUCGACAUUUCGGAUGANNNNNNNNNNNNNNNNNNNNNNNNNNNNNNNNNNNNNNNNNNNNNNNNNNNNNNNNNNNNNNNNNNNNNNNNNNNNNNNNNNNNNNNNNNNNNNNNNNNNAAAAUCGGUCUUUUCUGGCCGAGAUUUUGGGGAUGUCACAUUUUUUCAAAGCCCUUGAAACCCCACGCGGUCUUUGAUUCCAAGUGUAAUGUAAACCAUUACGAUUAAUAUCUUGGACUUCAAUACGAUUGAUGCACUCGUUAAAUUCCACCAUACCCUUCGAUAUUUUAGAAUUACUAGCCAUCGAGUCCACAAGUUCCUUAGUAACAACAUUAAAGUCUCCAACAAUCAACCACGGAUGACCAGCAACCAAACAAUAAUGUUUUUCCAGAGAAUCCCAAAGUUUCCUUCUGUCUAUAUAAUAAUUGCAAGCAUAGACAAAAGAACAAAACAACCUCUUAUUCUCUUUAAUGAAAAGGACUUGACAAUGCAUCACCUGACUAUUAGCAUCCAACGGCAUGACAAAAACUUCAUCCGGGUCCCAUCCAAUGAUAAUAUGAGUGCCUUUAGGGAUCAUGUCUUGAUUCGAAAUCCACAUCCAGUUUCCAAAAACUUUAUUGCAAGUCAUUUGCAGCUUAUUAAAUCUCAGCUGAGAUUUAAGAAUAGCAAACAAAGACAAAUUAUUACUUUUGAUCACAUUCUUUAUUUCCUCAUGUUUAGGCCUUAAAUUAGAACCCCUCACAUUCCAGCAUCCAAUAUUCAUCAUCAUUGAUCAACAAUUGUAUUUUCGGUGCUUGUCUCCUGGGCACCUCCAGCUAAAAUCUCCGGGUCAAUCUCAUCUAAAUAAGACAUAUCCCUUAAUCCCAAUUCAGAUAAAACAUCAAAAGGAUUUUGUGAUAUUAUCUCAUCUUGAUCACUUUUACCAGAAGUAGAACCUUUAUUAUCAAAGUUAGAACUAACUUUAAUAUCCACUUGCUUCUUAGGAACAUAUACCUUUUUCUGGCCUUUUUCUUUUUUUCCCCUGCAUUUCUUCUUUUCUGGCAUUAAAAUUUUCAAUUACAUUCUUCACUCUUGUCCCCAGUUUUUCUUUUGGGAUAAAAACCCCUGUUCCACUCAUUUUACCACUUUUACCCUCCUUUGACUGAAAUACCCCUUUCUCUUUCCCAUCUUUUUUAAGAUUUCCCACAGGAAAUUUCGAGAAAUUUCCCCCAUUAUUUCUAUUAUCAGUUCCUUUACUAAUUCGAUCUUCUUUUUGAGCUCCCUUUUGACUUUCUUGUUCUUUAACUUGCUUGCUUUUUUCCUUUCCUUGAUUAUCCACAUCUUUUGAAAUUCCUUCAUUGUUGCUAAUAGUAACUCCUUCACUAAUAGGGAUCGUGCUUUCCUCCAAAGAUUUAAUCAAAUCCACUUUGCCAUUUUCAUUAAUAACCACAUCAGGACUAAACUUCUGUCCUUUGUUGUUCUUCUUUGUGACUAAGAUAAAACCAUCAUCACCAACUUGCUCUUUUUUCCCAUUUUCUUCUAAGUUAACAGCUUCAUCAGCAACAUUAUCGGUUUUCAAUCUAUUUAAAAUCCCAUAAUUGCUAUUCUUAUGUCCAUAAACUUUGCAGUGAUUACAAACAUCAGGCCUCCACGCAUACUCUACCCUGCAUUUUGAUUCAACUUUUUCUCCUGUCCCAAAGUCAAUUGAGACAACACUUAACUCUUUCAUCCAUUCUGAUUCUGCUGACAUUUCCACAAGAAAUCUCAUAAAUGCUAGCCUUCCCCAAUGUUCAUUACACAUUUUCUGAGUGAUUUUAUCCAUAGCAAUUGGCUUCCCAAUCUCAUUAGCAAUCAAUGUGAUUCCUUUGCUGUUCCAAUACUCCAAAGGCACAUUAAAGACUUUGACCCACACAGGAACUGAAUUGAUUUGAGGUUUACUCAGAACUAGACCUAGCCUCCAUCUUUGAACGAACAUAGGCACAUUAUUAAUAAGCCAUGGACCUCCCUCCAGGACACUCAUUGUAACGCCUGUGUUUCCGGGCUUGCCAUUUUUCGCAAUGUAAUAGUCUAGGUUAACCUCCGUAACCCGUUUUGAAAUAAUAAGAUUGUAUUAUUUGAGUUUUGUGUGUUUUGUGCUUAAUUGCUUAAUUAUGUGGUUUGAUUAAUUAAGAAUAAAAAUAAGCGUCAAAAUUUAAGUGUAAAAUAAACUUAAUAUAUUUGGUUAAUGUUGUAGUAAUUGAAACGACGGUUUCCGAAUAUAUAUAGAACGCCCAAAUCUGACUUCGUAUGAGGAAGUUAUGAUUUAUCGAAGUUCCGGCUUAGCGGUAUACAGCCUAAAAUACUCGAAUUGAGAUCGAGCGGUUUUUAGCCGAAGCAAUCUAAAUGAGAAUCGAAGAUCUCAUUGUUGGUAUCGAAGCGAUAAAAAGUUAGGCGAGAACGGACGUCAAACGAAGAAGUUAUGAAUUUAUAACGAAAGUUUCUGUCCCGGCCUAUUAAAAAUAAUUAAUAAAAAUAAAGUCAAAAUUAGCCGACGGAGUCUAAACGAAAGUCGUAGAGCGUGGUCUCACCUUUCCGUGGAUAUAAAGAACGUCGAAAACGGAGUUCGUAUGAAGAAGUUAUGAAUUUCCGAAGUUUAUUAAUCAUUUUGUAUUUAUAUUUAAAUCAAAAUUCGGAAGCAUUAUCCGAAGGAGUCACCGAUCUGAUCCGAGGUACGCCCCGCGUACUCGAGUACGCCCCGCGUACUCCGAGGGAUGUCGACACUCGCACUCGAGCACUUCGGAUACGUAAGCAAUGACGUUUUGGGCAGUACGCCCCGCGUAACGCAGUACGCCCCGCGUACUCCGAGGCUCCAGCCUCCUAUAAAUAGGAUGCGAGGGUUCCGGGUAUUUUUGCCAAUUCCCUCUCGUUUUCGUGUCGAAGCUCUGUGCAAAAACCCCCGAAGCUACCCCGAAGUCCCGGUAUCAUACUCUAGCCCCGAGGCAAGUCCCGAGAUCCCGAAGAUCCCGAAAAGUGCGGUUCCCGAGUCGAAGCUCUGCCCGCGAGAAGUUCGAUUUUCGAGAAGAUCUUCCAGAUCUGCUGUGGAUUACUACUUCUAUAAGCCGUAGUGCUGUCCGAUCAUCUUCUGAUCAAGUGAGUGUGUAGUUAUUUCUUCUAAUACAAUAAUACGAAGUAUUUUAUAUAAAAAUACGUGCUAUGUGUAUAUAUUUGGUUGUGUUAUGUGUGAAUGAGUAUUCACUCUCUUCUAUCUUAUAGAUCUGCUUAUUUCUUUAUGAGAUAUGUGUUAUGUGUGUGUGUGCCUCAUCUGUUAUGUGAUAUAUGUGUUGAUUAAAGCAUGCUAUACAGGUUUUCUUUAAACUAUGUAUACAAAUGUAUAUUUUUAUCUACUAAUAUGUUGGGUAGAACAUGGGUAGACAGUUGGUGUGUAAUAAACAGAUGAGAGGCCUCGUUGUUGUUUGAUUGAGUCAUCUAGCGGAGUUUAGAUGACGACCACUGGCUAUUCUAGACAGUCUUGUGGAAACAUUAGCAGGUUCGCCACCUGUAGGUGUUAAUGAACUUGGGUGUUCAUUCGCUGUACUCCAUCCCCCUCAUGGUUGCCUUAUUUGACUUAUAUUGCCGAGGUACCCCCGAAGCAUGUGUUGUCGCCCCGAUGAAAUAUUCUUAGACUAGGUCCCUUAUGUUAGUUGUUUUAGGGACAUUAAAGUGAGAAUAACGGGAAUGGGUAAUUGGGUUAUUGUUGGUUGGUGAAAAUUAAAUAUGAUAUUUAUUGUGGGUUGAAAACCCUAUAUGCUCACCAGGCUCCCAAUCCUGACCCACUCAGUUUUAAAUUGUAUUACAGGUAGUGGCGGAAAGGCAUGAGAUGGAUGAACCAUCAAGUUGUUUUGUUUACAAGUCUGCAUAUGUUUAUAUUUGUUAUAUGACUUGUAAUGUAUUCGUUUAUGCUUAUUGGUCUGUAUCGGAACAUGACACCCCGAGUUUUGAUUAUAAUGAAAAUACAUUUCUUUUAUGAAAUGCUUCGGUAAACAAUGUUUUAUCAUGUUUUGUUUUUGGGAACAAAUUCCGCAACUCUUUCAAAUCAAAAGGAUUUACUCUGAAAAUAUUUAAAAGCAUAAAUGAAAAUCGGUCUUUUCUGGCCAAGAUUUUGGGGAUGUCACACUCAUCAUACCUUCCUUUGAAUCAAACUUGAAGAAAAAGAACCCUUCAUCAUUUACCAUUAUAUCCUUCAAUCCAAAAAUCUUCCACAUCUUAAAAGAGAAAUGAUUGACAGUUGGGAACGCAAGUUUCUUUCCCACAAAAAAACCAUAAAGCGUAGCAUGAUAAGGAGCUCCACCAAGCAUAAGAUCCGCAUAAGGCAAUUCAACUUUCCCAUUAGGCUUCCCAUCAACUUUUGGAAUUACUUUGAUGUUUAGAUCAACCACAGUGUUUGUAGCUUCUACCAUACGAGCAUAAGAUUUUUUGUUGAAAUCACUAACCAGUUUAGUUGCAGGGGAUAUGACAGGCUUAAAAAAAUCCAUCUUCAAGAAAUUAACUCCCUGUUCCUUUUUCGCAUUGUUACCAGCGUCAUUAUCCAGAUUCUCACUUUCAUUCAUUAAAUCUUUCAUAUCUUCAUCAUUACAAUUAAUAGGACAACUGAUUGGGACAUUAAGAUUAGCAUCAGAGAUCGAAGGGGGACCUGAAUUUAUAGGAACAGCCUGCGAUAAUGGAGACUUUCCCAAAAUACCCUUGUCACUUUUUGUUUCGAUCAUGGAACCAGGAGCUGAAGAAGAAGAUCCCAUCGCCAUAUUCUUCGAUGAAUUAAAUCCCUUAACCAUAUCCGAUGUGACUUGAAGUAGAACAAAACCCUUUUCCUCUUCCAUUUUCUUUUUCUCUUCAGCGAUCGCCUUAUCCAAAGCAUCAAGUUCCGAUUUGAUGAUAUCUGGAUCAACAUUCUCUUUCCCAUAGCUUGAUUUAAUUACUUCACGUAUUCCUGCUCUUAAACCCACCUUCGAACCUUCAAAGGAUGAUUUUGAAUUCAAGUACUUCUUCUCUUCUUCUAAUCGGUUGGCUUUUGCUUCAAUUUUAUUUUUCAAUCUGAGAGGUUUAACUCCAGAGUAUGGCGAAAUUUCUUUGUGCAUCGCUCUUCUACCUCUUCUCCUAGCUCCAACAUCAGCUUCCAAUUCAUCUUCAUACAACUUUUUGUAAUCUGGAUCAGGAGGGUCAGUGGAAUUCAUGCCGAACAUACUUCCAAAUUUUCCAAACAUUGAAUCUUCACCUACACAGAUCGUAAAUGAAGCUCACUGAAUACAAUCCUUGCAAUGAGAUGGAAAUUCCGGCACCAGAUUGACUCCGAUCAGCCAAAAUCUUCCGCCAAGUCACACGCAAAACCUGGAAAAACGAGAGAGAAAUCUUAGAGAGAGAAAGUUAGAGAGAGAAAUUUUUUUGCAAAAUGACUUGGGUUUAGGGUUUAGGGUUUGGGGUUUGGGGUUUGGGGUUUAGGGUUUAGGGUUUAGGGUUUAGGGUUUGAGGUUUGAGGUUUGGGGUGUAGGGUUUGGGGUGUAGGGUUUGGGGUGUGGGGUUUGGGGUUUAGGGUUUGGGGUUUGGGGUUUGGGGUUUAGAGUUUCGGGUUUCGGGUUUCGGGUUUUGGGUUUCGAGUUUCGGGUUUAGGGUUUAGGGUUUAGGGUUUAGGGUUUAGGGUUUAGGGUUUAGGGUUUAGGGUUUAGGGUUUGGGGUUUGGGGUUUAGGGUUUAGGGUUUAGGGUUUAGGGUUUUUUUUUUGGAUAAAAGGGGAGACCCCUUGGCAAAAUUUAUUGAAAAGAAAGAAAAAUUACAAAAGGAGAGAGGGCAACCGCCCCAAAAAAAACUAACUACAAAAACCUAACAAACAACUAAAAACUAAUCUAAACAAUAAUUUUUAAAAGGACAAAAAGACCUAUCUAACAAAAACCAACCAAUCCAUUUCCAUGUCCAACUCCAAAGCAAAGUAUGAAACCAAACAUAGCUUCCAAAGAAAUAAACAAUUAGCUCCAUAUCAAAAAUCUUCCAUCUUGUGAAAUCUUCAAAAUAUUCAAUCUUCAAGUAGCCUUUAAACCUCCACCAAACCAAAUCCCAAAAAAUGGCCUCAUACUCAAACAUAUAAUCCAAGGUUUGGGUAAUAUCAAUCUUACAAAACAUCCAAGGAACUUCCAAAUCAAGAGAAUCAUUAGCCAAAUCAAUCAAACCAUCAUAAAAAUUCAAAAUUCUCCAAACCGGAAUAAAUCCAAGAAUAGCAAUUAACUUUGAACUUUGAGCUUUACUCUUCAUGCAAUACUUUCCAAUCAUCUCCAAAAACCAAUUGUUGAACUUCUUUCCAAUCUUUACUUGAAAAACCCAUAUGCUCCAAAAAAUAAGCCCAAUAUCCUUCACAAAAUUCUUGAAACAAUUCCUAAAAUUGUCAAUAAGAUCUUCCACAAAUUUUCCAAUAUCCUCUUUAACUAAAUCAAAAAUCUUCCAAUUCCAUGAAAGUAUGAUGCUAAAACCGGUAUGACCAAUCAAAUCCCACCAUUUCCAAAGAUUCUUCAAAUUUUCUCCAAACUCUAUCUUGCACAAACUAUUCCAAUUAAUUUUCAAAAAUUCUUCCAAAGGAAUAAACCAAAAAUUCCAAAAAUGCCCUUGAUGAGUAACCCAUCUUCUAACGAAAAAAGAGCUCAUAGAACCGGAAAAAUCACAAUCACCAAGGUCAUAAAUUUCCAAUCCGCCAACACUCUUCUUAAGAAUCACUCCAAAGAUAAGAAACCCGUCAAUUCCUUUUUUAAUGGGAAUAUUCCAAAAAUACCCCUGAAGGUUAAUUCCUAAAUAAUUAAGAAUUGAACCUUCAAAAUCCACAUCAAAGGUAAAAUUACCAAUGAUAACCGGGAUAGACCGGUUUGCAUUAAAAACUUGGUAAAACCAAGAAGAAAAAACGAUCCAAAAGUGGUUGUUUCUUUGAAAACAAGGGAAACAAUCAACCCAAAUGUGGUACAGUCUAAGGUUAACGUACCCAAUCCAGUGUAUUAACGGGUAAAAAUCCCCCCACUUGCUAAUCGAACUAGCAGUGGCACACACUAAAGUGGAGAUUCCUAGUUGCCUAGGAAGAAGAUUCCAACUAACAGGGAUCAAACCCAUUUGCUUUAAAAAAUUGACCACUUCAAAGGAAAAAUUCCAAUGAAUUAUGGGAUAAACCAGAAAGCAAAUACCAAGAUAAGAAUCCCUAAGGAUCCAAAAGUGGUUGUUUUUAUGAAGACAAAGGAAACAACCAACCUGUUUGUGGUACAGUUUAAGGAAAACGUACCCAAUCCGUGGUAUUACCGGGUGAUUAUCCCACCACUUGCUAAUCGAACUAGCAGUGGCACCCACCGAAGUGGAGACUCCAAGUUGCCAAGGAGGAAAACAACCAAAAAUGGGAAUCAAACCCAUUUGUAUCAAGAAAAGAACCACUUCAAAGGUAAAUCUACCAAUGAAAUCCGGGAUAAACCGGAUAGCAUUAACCAUACAAGCAUUCCAAGACAAUAAAAAGUGGUUGUUUUUAUGUAAACAAAGGAAACAACCAACCUGAAUGUGGUACAGUUUAAGGAUAACGUACCCAAUCCCUGGUAUUAACGGGUAAUUACCCCACCACUUGCUAAUCGAACUAGCAGUGACACCCACCGAGGUGGAGACUCCAAGUUGCCAAGGAGGAAAACAACCAAUAAUGGGGAUAAAACCCAUUUGCAUGAGAAAAACCACUUCUAGAGGAAAAUUCCUCCAGAAAAUCGGGAUCCAACCGAUAAGCAAAGCAAUUUUUAAAGGAAAAUUGCUAAACCCAUAACCGUCAAUUCCUUUAAUCAUCAAAAAAAAUCAUGAUUCUCCUUUCCCAUAGGAACACCCCACUUCCUUUUAACUUCAUUAUCAAACCCCAAAAAUUCACUUUUGAGACCAAUAAGCUUGAGGCGGAUAUCUUCAAAAAUAUUCAAAACAACUUUCAUCCCCUCAUUCUUUCCUUUCCUAAAAAGCCUAAUAUUUCUUUCUCUCCAAACAUAAUAAACAGAAGCAGCAAAAGCAAUUUUCACAAUGAACACUUGAAUACUUUUACCCUUAAGCAGCCCCUGAAGUUCUUCAAUCAAUUCCAUCCAGCUAUGGGAUUUAAUUUUAAUCUCCACUCUAUCAAUCACAACUUUCCAGACAAAUUUAGAGAAGGGACACUCAAAAAACAAAUGAGAGUGCGAAUCAGACUGUUCAUUACAAAAAACACAAUUAAGAUUUUUAUUCUUAUCCCAAAAUCUCAUUCUAUCCUGUGUCAUGAGUCUCUCCUGAAUAGCAAGCCACAAUAUAAAAUUGUGUCUUGGAAUUCUAUGCUUGAACCAAACCAAAUGGACCCACGACACAUCAGGACCAAAAUCAGCAAGAUCUUCACAGGCUUUUUUAAUGCUAAACUCAAACAUUUUCCCAGAUUUAUUCCUCCACAUAACUUUAUCAGAAUUAAGAGAAUCAAGAACAGGAAGAUUGAAAUUCCUAAGCUGAGGAAUUAGAUCACACCAUUCACCAGGCCAAAACCAAGAAUCAUCAACCAUAACAUCUUUGACCUUAUUAGAAAUAUUGAAUCCAGCUUGCGAAAUUUCUCUAGGAGAGAGAACAUAAGAGAAAGGUCCCAGCGGAUGCCAAUCAUCAAACCACAUAAAAGUUGUAGCUCCAUCACCAAUUUUAUUACAGAAAUGAACACGAACCACAUCUUUUAGCUUAAUGAGAUUCCGCCAACUCCAACUAAGCCCAUUCUUUUUCUCUAUAUCCCAAAAACUUCUCCCUUUUAAAAGAUUAAUUUUGGCCCAUUUUACCCAAAUAGAAUCAGCCUCAGAGAUAAUUAACCAAAUCCGUUUAGAUAAGAUAGCCUUGUUCCAAACUCUAAGACUUCUAAGACCCAAUCCUCCCUUAUUCACAGGUUUGCAAAUAGACGACCAUGCCACUUUAGCUCUUCCUUUUUUUGAUUCAUCAUGGUUCCAUAAGAAAUUCUUCAUCAUCUUUUCAAUUUCCUUGAUUGUACUAAUAGGAAUAAGCAUACUAGAGGCCCAGUACACAGGAAGAGAAAAGAGAAUUGAAGAGAUAAGCUGCAAUCUUCCAGCAUAAGAAAGAAACUUAUUUUUCCAAUCUCCAAUUCUUUUCCUAACUUUAUCAACAAGUCUUUUACAAUCUUUAAUAAAGAGCCUUGUGGAGAUCAAAGGUAAUCCCAAAUAUUUCAUUGGCAGCUUUCCUUCCACAAAAGAAAGAGUUCGAAGAAUCUUAUUCUUUAUAUUAUCCUUAACAUUUCCGAAAAAAAUGUGACUUUUAGCAAGAUUUGGAAAAAGCCCUGCCACCCCUGCAAAUUCAUCAAGCGCUUCUUUAACCACCCUAGCCGAAGCUUUAUUUCCAUGACAGAAAAUCAUCAGGUCAUCUGCAAAACAAAGGUGAGUGAUUUUUUGCUUUUUACAACUCCAGUGAUAUUUGAACAUCUUUUCAUUGCGAAUUCUUCUUUGAAUUAUCAAAUUAAAUAUUUCCAUGACAAGAGUAAACAAAUAGGGAGAGAGGGGACAACCCUGUCUAAGACCCCUCUUACCCUCAAAAAAACCAUGAAAAGUACCAUUAAUACUUAACAUGUAAGAGGGUGUACUAACACAGCUCAUUAUCCAUUUGAUCAUAACAGGGUGAAAUCCAAAGAAAAAAAGAAUGUCUUGAAGAAAGGACCAAUUAACCGUAUCAUAAGCCUUUUGAAUGUCCACCUUCAUAGCACAUCGAGAAAACCCUCUGUCACGAUGGUACCCCUUGACUAACUCUUGCGAUAACAAAAUAUUAUCAACAAUUGAACGACCAGGAAUAAAAGCGGAUUGAUUGUCAGAAACAAUAGAACACAAAUGAUUCCAUAUUCUUCCAACAAUAAUCUUACUAAUGCAUUUAUAAAUAACAGAACAACAAGAAAUCGGCCUAUAAUCACUCACCUUCCCAGGAGUAUCAAUCUUAGGAAUUAAAGCAAUAACAGUGGCAUUGACUUCUUUGAGUAACUGACCAUUGCAGAAAAAUUCCUUGACAGCUUGGCAAAAAUCAUUUCCAACAACAGUCCACAUAGACUUAAAAAUUUUUUGCAGAAAAUCCAUCAGGCCCAGGAGCCUUAUCAUCAUCAAUAUCAAAAAGCGCAUUCUUAAUUUCCUCAUCAGUUACCACCUUAACCAUUUCAACAGCUUGCACAAGAUCAAGCUUUUUAGAAAACAAAGAAUGAGGAUUAUUGAUCUCAGCACAAGGAAUCGCAGCCCCCAAAAAAUUAGAAAAAUACUCGAUAAAAACUUUGGGCACAUCUUCACCUUCAAUCCAAUUCCCUUCAUCAUUCAUAACAACUUUGAUAUUGUUUCUGAUUAUUUUGCCUUUGACAACUUUAUGGAAAUAUUUAGAAUUACUAUCUCCUUCCUUUAGCCAUCCCACUUUCGCUUUUUGCUUUAAAAAACUUUCUUCUUCAGCAUAGGCCUUAUUAAACUCAUCAAGAAAAAUAGCCUCCAAAUCCCUAAGCUCAGAAUUGAACGGAUCUUUAUCGAGAUCAGCUUGAACAGCUUCAAGUUCUUUACGACAAUGAGCAACCUUUUCAGACAGAUGACCCUGAUUUCUUAACAACUUUCGGAUAGGCUUUUUAAGAAUUUUGAGUUUUUGAACCAAUUGAAACAUUUUAAUCCCUUUUAUUUCAGCAUUCCAAUGGGAUUCAACCAAAACCUUUAAUUCCGGACAGCUAGUAAGAACAUUAGAAAACUUGAAAGGUAAAACUUUGAACUUCAUCUUCAAAGGAAUUUUAAUAACCACAGGGCUAUGAUCAGAAAUGCCAUAAGGAAGAAAUGAAGCAUAAAUAGAAGGGAAAUCAUCAAAAAGUCUACAAUUACCCAUGACCCUAUCAAGCUUCUUUAAAAUGCCAUUUUUUCCACGAGGCUUUUGAUUCCAGGUAUAGUUCAGCCCAUUACAAUUAAUGUCUUGAAUUUCAAGACAAUUAAUGCAAUCAUGAAAAUCCUCCAUGCCUAUAGAAAACCUAGAAGAACCGACAGUGCUUUCAUUGAGAUUAAGCAUGACAUUGAAAUCCCCUCCUAUAAUCCAAGGAUCAUCACGAACAAAAUCUUUGAAAUGCUUGAGCGAAGACCAUAAAACUCUUCUAUCAAUAUAUUUAUUAGCAGCAUAAACAAAGGAACAGAAAACAUACUUAUUAUUAGAAGGAAAACUAAUUUUACAAUGUAUAACUUGAUCAUUAAGAUCAAUCAAGUUAACAUCAAACCAAUUAGAAUUCCAUCCAACAAUAAUACGUGUAGUAUUUCCCUUAUUUCUAUUAUUAGCAACCCACUUCCAUGACCCAAAGAUCUUAUCACACUUCUCAUCGAGUUUACUAGCACAAACUUGGGAUUCAAGAACAGCUAGAAGACUCAAAUUAUUCUCCUUUAUCAAAUUUUUUAUUUCUUUUUGCUUAGGGGCCAAAUUAACACCCCUAAUAUUCCAUAUACCAAAACUAAGCAUCAUUGGGAAAGGCUUCCAAAUUGGUAUCAGUCAAAGGGAUACCUCCUAUAACAUCCAUUUGAUCAACUAUGUUCAAGUAAGCCAAAUCAUCUUCAUUAACUCCUUCCUUAGAAAAAACAAAAGGAUUCUCCUCUUCCAUAUCUUCCAAAACAUCGAAUUUAUUUUUAGAAACAAUUUUAUCAGAAUCAAAAUCCUUCAAAGAUCGAGAAUUCACAUCAAAAUUGGAACUUAUUUUUAAAUCAGGCCCUGAUUUCGGAAUAUACUUUUGCCCGAUAUCAACUUUUACCUCUAUUUCUUCUUUCUGUUUAGUCCCCUGAAUAGUGCGAUUAAAUGAAUUCCCCUGAUAACCCUUUUUUUCCCAAACAUCCCUGUUUCUUUUUCCAUUUUCCAAUUAUUGUUAUUAUUAUUAUUAUUACUGUUCUGCCCUUUUUCGAAAACAACUCCAUUGAAAUUGCCAUUCCCAUUUUGACUUUUCCCAAAAUACCCCUGAUUACCUUUUCCUUUAUUCACUCGAUUUUCACCGUAAUUGACUCCAGCUUUUCCUUGUUUAUUCCAAUUUUGCCCUUGAUUCCCAUUGUUCGAACCAUUCCCAUCAUUACCAUUCCUUUGCAUUUUCCCAUUUUGCCCUUGCCCAACAUUCUGAUUCUUCUUCCCUGUUUCAGCUUUCCAUUUUUCCCCAGCAUUAUUCCCUUUGUUCUUUUUAACAACUUUUUGAAAUCCCUCAUCAUCCACUUCAACUUUUUUUGUGCUAUCAAUUAAAACUUGCAUAAGAUCAAUCUUGACUCCCUUCAAAUUAUCCUCCUUUUUACUAUUAUUAUUAAUUUCAUUAACUUGAUUAGCUAACAAAAUUCCACAAUUAGAAUCCUUAUGUCGAUACACUUUGCAGUGAGAACAUUUUGAAGGGUUCCAAGCAUAUUCAACUUUACAUUUGGACGAAAUUCUAUCACCAGUAACAAGAUCCGAAGAAUAAACUUCAAUUUCUUUGAGCCAAUCUUUAGCAGCCGACAUUUCAAUUAGGAUUCUCAUAAAAGCUGGCCUUCCCCAAUGCUCUUGACACAUCUUGGCAGUGUGGGCAUCAACAUCUAAUGGCUUUCCAAUCUCCCAUGCAAUAUGACUAAGCCCAGUCCCAUUCCAAUAUUCCAAAGGGACAUUAUAAAUUUUCACCCAAACAGGAACCUUGUCAUGUUGAUCUUUGAUUGAGCUUACUCCUGUAGUCCAUCUUCUCACAAUAAGAGCACUAUCAAAAAUCAUCCACACACCCCCUUCCAAAACAUUUAGCAUACCUUGUUCCGAGCUAAAUCUGAAAAAAUAAAUCCCUUCUUCAUUUACCAUGACCUCUUCCAACCCAUGUUUUUUCCACGUAUUAUGCGCAAACUUGUUAACAUUGAAAAAGUUCACAUGUUUGUCGAUAAAAUACCCAUAAAGAGUUGUCUUAAAGGGACUGCAACCUUUAAGGAUAUCACACAAAGGCAUCUCCACAACACCAACAGGAAGAUCAACAUUUUUCUUGAUUUUAGAAAUAAGAUUAGCAGCAUUAAGUUUCUUACCACUAACUUUUUCAGCAUAAGAAAUUGGUUCAUUAACUUUUGGAUCCACAUUACUCAAAUUUGGACAUGAUAUACUCGACUUAUUCUUCAUUUCCCCUGAUUUCAUUUCUUCUAACAUAACUUCUGAAAUGAGUAACCCACCAUUACUGUUUCGAUUAUUUCCUAUUAUACCCUCUUUAUCAUCAACAGCCAUUUGGACAUUAUUACCCUCUUCUUCCGGAUCAACAUAAUUGAAUCUAAAUUCCCCCUCAUUAGCAAUUUCAAGAUGACUGAACUUGCUGGGAAAAUGAUAAAUGAUCUCAUUACAAACUUGUUCCAGCUGCCUGCUCACCAUUUCAUCAAUUUCAAUCUUCCUUUUCUCCUUCUUCUCCUUAACCAAAUUUUGCAUUGAACAGAUGUUAUUAAGAUCAACAAUUACAGGUUCAUUCAAAUUAAGAUUAGGAACUCCUUCAGGCAGAAGAUUAAUCACAGUUUCUCCGACUUUUUGAAGACCAUCGGACGCUUCUAACUCAGUUGAUUUCUUCAUAUUAACUGCAGCAGGAAACAGAGUAGAAGAAGGUUUAAUAGGAAUACGAACCUUCCCAAAAUUAGCUUCAACCUUCUUCUUCAUUUUGCUAGUACAGAGCUUGUGGAAAACUUUCUCUUUUUUCUUAUUACUCAGAUCUUUCCAGUUCAAAAGCAGCUCAUUCCUUUGGCUAACCAAAGAAAUCUUCUUAACAUCAUCGAUAGAAUCAACAAUCGAACCAUCAGAAACAUUUCCACUGUUAUAUUUCUUCUUUGUGAACCUCAAUCCAUGGACAAAUCCUUCCUUCUCAUUCACAGUUAAGCAAUUCCAGAAUGCCAUCAUAGCGUUCUUCUCUCCAGGACCGCAAUGUUGAGCAAUAUCUUUUUCAAAUUCAAGGACAGGGGAACUCAAACCAUCAAUUACACCCUCUUCCACUUUAAUUGGAUUAAAACAUCCAGGAUCAUUCGAAGAAAAGACAUCACGAUCAGAUUUAAUAGCACUAAGGAUAACAAUCGGUUUCAAUUCAACAUCAUUCAAUUUGAUAAACGACCCUAAGUCCUCAGAAUCCAUAAGAAUAUCUUCAUUUUUCACCUUAGAGAAAGAAUCAGAUAGCGUCUUAUCCAAAUUAGGAGAAUCAAGCAUACUAACUUCAAUCAAAUUUUUUGGAUCAUGCGAAAUAGCUUCCGAUUCAAAUUUGUUGACAAGAGAAGUAACAGAUUUAGCUUUAGGAGAAUCAAUUAACAAUUUAGAACCAACUCCAGAAUCGGAUUUCAUCUUAUUCUUCAUAUUCGCGUUUUUUCCUUUUUUCUUCAUAAUCACGUCAGGUUCCAAAUCAGGGGGAACACCCUCCAUACACCCAAAUCACCAGUAUGAAUGGAUAGAGGAUGAAAAGACGAAUAAAUUGAUACCAAUUUCAAGCUGAACGGUUGCCGGAAUUGCGAACGGUGCCGGAAAAACGAGGUUGAAAACGGGAAAUCGCCAGAGAAGAGAAAGAAACGGGUUUAGGGUUUAGGGUUUAGGGUUUAGGGUUUGGGGUUUGGGGUUUAGGGUUUCGGGUUUCGGGUUUUGGGUUUCGGGUUUCGGGUUUCGGGUUCGGGUUUAGGGUUUAGGGUUUCGGGUUUCGGGUUUAGGGUUUAGGGUUUCGGGUUUCGGGUUUAGGGUUUAGGGUUUCGGGUUUUGGGUUUAGGGUUUAGGGUUUAGGGUUUAGGGUUUAGGGUUUAGGGUUUAGGGUUUAGGGUUUAGGGUUUAGGGUUUAGGGUUUAGGGUUUAGGGUUUAGGGUUUAGGGUUUUUUUUUUCUUGGGAAAGGGGCCGAAGCCUCGGCAAAGAUUUUAUAAAUUCAGAAAAAAGAAAAACAAGAGUUAUGUCAUUUUUG
This 20213-nucleotide long non-coding RNA is filed under the name Lactuca sativa (garden lettuce). RNAcentral describes it as "long non-coding RNA (LSAT_LNC009911)". The record is from RNAcentral. Lineage: Eukaryota; Viridiplantae; Streptophyta; Magnoliopsida; Asterales; Asteraceae.